GAUGAGCAUGCGUCCCAUUAGCUAGUUGGUAAGGUAACGGCUUACCAAGGCAACGAUGGGUAGGGGUCCUGAGAGGGAGAUCCCCCACACUGGUACUGAGACACGGACCAGACUCCUACGGGAGGCAGCAGUGAGGAAUAUUGGUCAAUGGGCGCAAGCCUGAACCAGCCAUGCCGCGUGCAGGAUGAAGCAUCUAUGGUGUGUAAACUGCUUUUGUACGAGAAGAAACACUCCUUCGUGAAGGAGCUUGACGGUAUCGUAAGAAUAAGGACCGGCUAACUCCGUGCCAGCAGCCGCGGUAAUACGGAGGGUCCAAGCGUUAUCCGGAAUCAUUGGGUUUAAAGGGUCCGUAGGCGGUUUUGUAAGUCAGUGGUGAAAGCCCAUCGCUCAACGGUGGAACGGCCAUUGAUACUGCAAGACUUGAAUUAUUAGGAAGUAACUAGAAUAUGUAGUGUAGCGGUGAAAUGCUUAGAUAUUACAUGGAAUACCAAUUGCGAAGGCAGGUUACUACUAAUGGAUUGACGCUGAUGGACGAAAGCGUGGGGAGCGAACAGGA
This 556-nucleotide ribosomal RNA is filed under the name uncultured Bacteroidota bacterium. RNAcentral's name for it is "bacterial SSU rRNA". It matches the Rfam family "Bacterial small subunit ribosomal RNA", at positions 224 to 777 of the family's 1533-position model. The record is from RNAcentral. Lineage: Bacteria; Pseudomonadati; Bacteroidota.